RNAcentral lists this ribosomal RNA (497 nucleotides) under uncultured bacterium. RNAcentral describes it as "partial 16S ribosomal RNA". It matches the Rfam family "Bacterial small subunit ribosomal RNA", at positions 28 to 507 of the family's 1533-position model. The record is from RNAcentral.
GAUGAACGCUGGCGGCGUGCCUAAUACAUGCGAGUCGAGCGAACAGGCGAGGAGCUUGCUCCUCUGACGUUAGCGGCGGACGGGUGAGUAACACGUGGAUAACCUACCUAUAAGACUGGGAUAACUUCGGGAAACCGGAGCUAAUACCGGAUAAUAUAUUGAACCGCAUGGUUCAAUAGUGAAAGACGGUUUUGCUGUCACUUAUAGAUGGAUCCGCGCCGCAUUAGCUAGUUGGUAAGGUAACGGCUUACCAAGGCAACGAUGCGUAGCCGACCUGAGAGGGUGAUCGGCCACACUGGAACUGAGACACGGUCCAGACUCCUACGGGAGGCAGCAGUAGGGAAUCUUCCGCAAUGGGCGAAAGCUUGACGGAGCAACGCCGCGUGAGUGAUGAAGGUCUUCGGAUCGUAAAACUCUGUUAUUAGGGAAGAACAAAUGUGUAAGUAACUAUGCACGUCUUGACGGUACCUAAUCAGAAAGCCACGGCUAACUACGUG